This 253-nucleotide ribosomal RNA is filed under the name uncultured bacterium. RNAcentral describes it as "partial 16S ribosomal RNA". It matches the Rfam family "Bacterial small subunit ribosomal RNA", at positions 524 to 776 of the family's 1533-position model. The record is from RNAcentral.
UACGGGGGGGGCAAGCGUUGUUCGGAAUUACUGGGCGUAAAGGGCUUGUAGGUGGCCAACUAAGUCAGACGUGAAAUCCCUCGGCUUAACCGGGGAACUGCGUCUGAUACUGGAUGGCUCGAGUUCGGGAGAGGGAAGUGGAAUUCCAGGUGUAGCGGUGAAAUGCGUAGAUAUCUGGAGGAACACCGGUGGCGAAGGCGGCAUUCUGGACCGACAUUGACGCUGAGGAGCGAAAGCCAGGGGAGCAAACGGG